RNAcentral lists this non-coding RNA (27 nucleotides) under Mus musculus (house mouse). The record is from RNAcentral. Lineage: Eukaryota; Metazoa; Chordata; Mammalia; Rodentia; Muridae.
UACCUGUGACACAAGAAGUUGACAAGG